CGUCACCGUGCAUAAGAGGUCUCAAGAGUGGAUAGAGGAGCAGCAGAUGGGAGCGUUCCUCAGUGUUUCUAAAGGUGAUAGAUGGGAGCGUUCCUCGGUGUUUCUAAAGGUGAUAGAUGGGAGGGUUCCUCGGUGUUUCUAAAGGUGAUAGAUGGGAGGGUUCCUCAGUGUUUCUAAAGGUGAUAGAUGGGAGGGUUCCUCGGUGUUUCUAAAGGUGAUAGAUGGGAGGGUUCCUCAGUGUUUCUAAAGGUGAUAGAUGGGAGGGUUCCUCAGUGUUUCUAAAGGUGAUAGAUGG
Molecule: long non-coding RNA, 295 nt
Organism: Oncorhynchus keta (chum salmon)
Lineage: Eukaryota; Metazoa; Chordata; Actinopteri; Salmoniformes; Salmonidae
Exons: 3
Source: RefSeq, a predicted model, not a curated record